Molecule: transfer RNA, 70 nt
Filed under: Sapayoa aenigma (broad-billed sapayoa)
Lineage: Eukaryota; Metazoa; Chordata; Aves; Passeriformes; Tyrannidae
Description: tRNA-Lys
Source: RNAcentral
CGUUAAGAAGCUAUGUACCAGCACUAGCCUUUUAAGCUAGAGACAGAGGACUUUCCCCCCUCCUUAAUGA